AACGAACGCUGGCGGCAUGCCUAACACAUGCAAGUCGAACGAGACCUUCGGGUCUAGUGGCGCACGGGUGCGUAACGCGUGGGAACCUGCCCUUGGGUUCGGAAUAACUCACCGAAAGGCGUGCUAAUACCGGAUGAUGUCGUAAGACCAAAGAUUUAUCGCCCAGGGAUGAGCCCGCGUAAGAUUAGGUAGUUGGUGAGGUAAAGGCUCACCAAGCCGACGAUCUUUAGCUGGUCUGAGAGGGCGGACGGCCACACUGGGACUGAGACACGGCCCAG
RNAcentral lists this ribosomal RNA (278 nucleotides) under uncultured bacterium. RNAcentral describes it as "partial 16S ribosomal RNA". It matches the Rfam family "Bacterial small subunit ribosomal RNA", at positions 29 to 334 of the family's 1533-position model. The record is from RNAcentral.